GUGGACGCUGGCGGUAGGCCUAACACAUGCAAGUCGAACGGCAGCACAGUAAGAGCUUGCUCUUACGGGUGGCGAGUGGCGGACGGGUGAGGAAUACAUCGGAAUCUACUUUUUCGUGGGGGAUAACGUAGGGAAACUUACGCUAAUACCGCAUACGACCUACGGGUGAAAGCAGGGGAUCUUCGGACCUUGCGCGAUUGAAUGAGCCGAUGUCGGAUUAGCUAGUUGGCGGGGUAAAGGCCCACCAAGGCGACGAUCCGUAGCUGGUCUGAGAGGAUGAUCAGCCACACUGGAACUGAGACACGGUCCAGACUCCUACGGGAGGCAGCAGUGGGGAAUAUUGGACAAUGGGCACAAGCCUGAUCCAGCCAUACCGCGUGGGUGAAGAAGGCCUUCGGGUUGUAAAGCCCUUUUGUUGGGAAAGAAAAGCAGCAGGUUAAUACCCCGCUGUUCUGACGGUACCCAAAGAAUAAGCACCGGCUAACUUCGUG
Molecule: ribosomal RNA, 491 nt
Filed under: uncultured bacterium
Lineage: Bacteria
Description: partial 16S ribosomal RNA
Rfam family: Bacterial small subunit ribosomal RNA
Source: RNAcentral